AGCUGGAACUUACAGGUACAUUCAUAAGCCUCCAGACCUAAAGUGACCUAAAGACCAGGAGAUGUGUUCCUCUCAGAAAGCAUAUCCAUCAGAAAGCAUACAGGAAGCAUACCCAUCAGAAAUAUACCCACCAGAAAGCAUACCCAUCAGAAAGCAUACCCAUCAGAAAGUAUACCCACCAGAAAGCAUACCCAUCAGAAAGCAUACGCAUCAGAAAGCAUACCCACCAGAAAGCAUAC
Molecule: long non-coding RNA, 239 nt
Organism: Anguilla rostrata (American eel)
Lineage: Eukaryota; Metazoa; Chordata; Actinopteri; Anguilliformes; Anguillidae
Exons: 2
Source: RefSeq, a predicted model, not a curated record